CAGGAAGUGAUGGCUGGGUUUGUCACUGCAGGGCCUGCGAUGGAUGUGUGCAGGAGAGCCGGGGAAGGAGAAACUUAGGCUCUGGCUGAUUGCAUCAUUGUCCUUUCUCCUCCCUCAGAGUGUGUUUCAUUACUGGAACAGCUAGGAAGCAGUGUAGUAAAGGAGAUGUGACAUCCAGAGAAAUAUAUAUUUUCGCGAACCGGGACACAGAGCUCACAGUGAUACUCCAAGAAUGGAAGUGACCAAACUACCAGUAGUGCAGCAUGGAUCAGGGUCACAAUGGAUAGAAGAUGCGGAGGUAGAGGACACAGAGGAGCCGUGGACAAUGGAGGGCUUCCAGAUCAGUCUCAUGGGGAGUAAUGGCAGAGGAGAGGAAGGUUUGAGACUGGAGGCAACUGCAAGCCAUAAUGUAGAGAGUGGGGAGUCGGAGCACGAGACACAUUCCUAGGAAGGAGCAUUCUGGGGCCACUGGGAACGGCCAGGACCACAGACCAGCUUGGAUACCUGGUGCUGGAGAGCAGAGGUCCCUUCCUCGGCAGAGACCUGAGGACACACCACCCACCUCACACAGCAGCUCCCACCUUGAAUCCAGGGGUGAGGUUGAUAUGUGCACACGGAAGGAAAAAACGUUACCACCUUGGCCCUUCCCAGCAUCGUGACAUCCAGAAAGCUCUUCUUCUCACAGCUGCAGCGAUUCUCCACUCAGAUGAAAGACUUUCCUGAAAAGAAACACGUCCUUUGGAAGCGUCCAAAGUGGAAAGGCCGUGGGCAGCAGAGGAUGGAGGUUUCCGCACGGCGGCCCUGAAAGGGUCUGAAUGUGCUGUCAAAGGAGGUUUAUCUGCUCGAGCAGCUGCAGAGCGGAAAGCUCAACAUCGCCCAUGGAAAGUGAGAGAAAGCAAGAAGGGGGUGCCCCGUAAUGCUCCAAGGAGGCUGUUUCAUUGACCACACUCUCCUAGAAUCACGAAACUUCAGAAACACGUGAGCUUCAUUUGCCUGGGGGCUGAACACUGAUCUGCUUCUGGUCUAUUUCCUCCUGAGAUAGUUGCCUGCUCUUAAGCUGACAUACUCCUUCCCAGAGGCC
Molecule: long non-coding RNA, 1081 nt
Filed under: Fukomys damarensis (Damara mole-rat)
Lineage: Eukaryota; Metazoa; Chordata; Mammalia; Rodentia; Bathyergidae
Description: lncRNA (ENSFDAG00000031869.1)
Source: RNAcentral